AGAUGCCAGAGACUUGACCUUGUGGGAAAAUUCAAGGAGAGUUUAGGAAGGGGUUUCCCAGGGCCUGUACCCUGUCACAGCCAGGGGGGACUUGAACCGCUGGCAGCAGAGGAGACACACCCUAUAAAGACUUCCAGAGCACCGCUAGAAGCCCAAGGGGCGUAUGUAGCAGUCUGGCUCUUGGAGAAUUGCCCAGCUGUCCUGUCUCUGCACAUGGAAUCCCCUUGAGUUUGGGUUAGCCUGCUGGGAGGUUAAUAGUCAAGCUUCAUGAGAACUUGAAACAGUUUGCAGCACUGCUAAUAAGAAGGAAUAUCCCUCAAGAUCAUUCCUCUUGUCCCUGAUCAAAGGAGAGACAAAAAUGCUUUGUAUUAACGACUUCAGGAGAUCUUCCCUAUAUGUUUCAACUGGCUGGAGCAAAAAGGAAACCCUCACAAACCCAGCUUCAUCUAGGAGUAAUUUGGUGUGCAGUGGCUAAGGAUUAUUAAAAUACAGAAAUCUCUGUGAAUCAACACCAUAUCUGGGAAGUUUCCUGUUCUUUUUAAA
Non-coding RNA from Phascolarctos cinereus (koala), 543 nucleotides. NCBI's taxonomy places the organism in Eukaryota, Metazoa, Chordata, Mammalia, Diprotodontia, Phascolarctidae. The record is from RefSeq and is a predicted model, not a curated record.